CCUACGGGAGGCUGCAGUGAGGAAUAUUGGUCAAUGGACGAGAGUCUGAACCAGCAAAGUAGCGUGAAGGAUGACGGCCCUAUGGGUUGUAAACUUCUUUUAUAUGGGAAUAAAAUGUUCCACGUGUGGGAUUUUGUAUGUACCAUAUGAAUAAGGAUCGGCUAACUCCGUGCCAGCAGCCGCGGUAAUACGGAGGAUCCGAGCGUUAUCCGGAUUUAUUGGGUUUAAAGGGAGCGUAGGUGGAUUGUUAAGUCAGUUGUGAAAGUUUGCGGCUCAACCGGAAAAUUGCAGUUGAAACUGGCAGUCUUGAGUACAGUAGAGGUAGGCGGAAUGCGUGGUGUAGCGGUGAAAUGCUUAGAUAUCACGAAGAACUCCGAUUGCGAAGGCAGUUCACUGGACUGCAACUGACACUGAGGCUCGAAAGUGUGGGUAUCAAACAGGAUUAGAUACCCUAGUAGUC
Molecule: ribosomal RNA, 460 nt
Filed under: uncultured bacterium
Lineage: Bacteria
Description: partial 16S ribosomal RNA
Rfam family: Bacterial small subunit ribosomal RNA
Source: RNAcentral